CCUACGGGAGGCAGCAGUGAGGAAUCUUGGUCAAUGGGCGCGAGCCUGAACCAGCAAAGUAGCGUGAAGGAUGGCUGCCCUACGGGUUGUAAACUUCUUUUAUAAAGGAAUAAAGUGAGGCAAGUGUGCCUUUUUGUAUGUACUUUAUGAAUAAGGAUCGACUAACUCCGUGCCAGCAGCCGUGUUAAUACGGAGGAUCAGAGCGUUAUCCGGAUUGAUUGGGUUUAAAGGGAGCGUAGAUGGGUUUGUAAGUCAGUUGUGAAAGUUUGCGGCUCAACCGUUAAAGUGCAAUUGAUACUGGCAGUCUAGAGUACAGUUGAGGGAGGCGGAAUUCGUGGUGUAGCGGUGAAAUGCGGAGAUAUCACGAAGAACUCCGAUGGCGAAGGCAGCUUACUAAACUGCCACUGACAUUGAUGCUCGAAAGUGUGGGUAUCAAACAGGAUUAGAUACCCCAGUAGUC
RNAcentral lists this ribosomal RNA (460 nucleotides) under uncultured bacterium. RNAcentral describes it as "partial 16S ribosomal RNA". It matches the Rfam family "Bacterial small subunit ribosomal RNA", at positions 338 to 795 of the family's 1533-position model. The record is from RNAcentral.